This is a non-coding RNA of Podarcis muralis (Common wall lizard), 252 nucleotides long. Lineage: Eukaryota; Metazoa; Chordata; Lepidosauria; Squamata; Lacertidae. The record is from RefSeq and is a predicted model, not a curated record.
GUCCUGCUCAAAGGCCCAAUGACCUCUCUCUGCUUCCAGAUUGAUCCACAAGCCAGCUGUGUCAAGAGACAACAAAAUUUUCAGAGGAAAAUUGGAAGGUGACGAGGCGAGACUCCACGCUCCCCUACAGACCUCCAGGCAGUGUGACUCAAUACCCAAAUGCAACUGUGUGCAUCUAAAAGCUGGAAGCAAAAGGAACAUAAACUGAAAAGUGACCGUACAUCAAUUCUGAACAUAGAAAACUACUUUAUA